Molecule: ribosomal RNA, 488 nt
Filed under: Orestes mouhotii
Lineage: Eukaryota; Metazoa; Arthropoda; Insecta; Phasmatodea; Heteropterygidae
Description: partial 16S ribosomal RNA
Rfam family: Bacterial large subunit ribosomal RNA
Source: RNAcentral
AAAUAUGACCUGCCCAAUGAUGUUGUUUAAUGGCCGCGGUAUUUUGACCGUGCAAAGGUAGCAUAAUCAUUAGCCUAUUAAUUGUAGGCUUGUAUGAAUGGUUUGACGAAGUAUUUACUGUCUCUUUAGUAAAAUUAUAAUUUAAAUUUGUAGUUAAAAUGCUGGAAUUUUUUUAUGGGACGAGAAGACCCUAUAGAUCUUUAUAUUUUUGUUUUUUAUUAUUUUUGGGUUAUUUGAUAUUGAUUUAUUAAAAUAUUUUGUUGGGGUGACAUGGGGAUAUAUUUAACUCUUUAUUUUUUUUUUACAUUGAUUUUUGAUUUGUUGACCUUUUAUUAUUGUUAUAAGAUGUAGAUACCUUAGGGAUAACAGCGUAAUUUUUCUUGAGAGUUCAUAUCGACAGAAUAAGGUUGCGACCUCGAUGUUGGAUUAAGAUUAUAAUUAGGUGUAGGUGCUUAAUUGUAGGUCUGUUCGACCUUUAAAUUCUUACA